RNAcentral lists this long non-coding RNA (2992 nucleotides) under Phaseolus vulgaris (common bean). Its description in RNAcentral is "long non-coding RNA (PVUL_LNC003746)". Lineage: Eukaryota; Viridiplantae; Streptophyta; Magnoliopsida; Fabales; Fabaceae. The record is from RNAcentral.
UCCGUUUUAGAGAUCGAUAUUUCAUUACGAUUUUAUUUUUAAAAUGUGUAUUUAAGUUACUUUUAACUUUAACUCAUAAACGAUAUAACUUUAACUAAUAAACGAUAUGAGACUAUAUUAACCGAGAGAAUACUUACUAUACUAUAACAAUUACAUGAGUGCAAAUACUCUCACAAAUUCGUUUACUGAUCCUCGAAGUCUCAUCUUCAAAUCAAUAUUUUGUUGUUGAAAAUCUGGGAAAUUUUGCAGAAAGAAGGCGAAUUAAAAACAAGAGUUUAUGGAAGAUAAAAGAAUUUGUGUUAUUUUGAAAUUGAAAGCAACAGAUAAAGAAAAGAAACACGGUUUCUUACUAAGAUGAUUACUCAAUUAAACAAUUGGUAAACUAAAUUACUGAAAUCAUUAGAUAUAAGUCAAGUAAGCAUCAGAUUCGUUGCUAACACAUAUUCUAUCAAUCCUUCAUGCUCACUCUACACUCCUUCUCAUUGCUAUCAUAUUUUCUCUAAAUAGAAAUCACAAAUGAUUCCAUUUUCUCGGAUAUUAUUUAAAUUUAUCUUAAUUUUAAUAUGAAAUUUCUACAUUUAUUGGAUAUGGAUAUGAAUAUGGAUAAUAUUUAAUUUUUUAAAUUGAGUAUGGAAAUGAAUAUGUACAUAUCCGUCUCAUUAAGUCUCUAUAUUCAUUUACGUCCUUCUAUUGGUUUUAAAUUACUAAAAUAUUUUUAAUUUAUUAGAUAAUCUAAAACAAUUAUAUUCGGAUUUUUUGGUUUCAUAACUUAUUUCUAAGUCACCAUUUAAUAUUUUUAUUCUUUUUUACAAUUAUUCGACUUUUAUCCAACAUUUAUUUUAUACUCUCAUUUAGUAUUUAUACGAUUAUUUUUUUUUUUACAUUUGACAUUAGAAAAAAAAAUGUGUAUAAUUUUAAUCUUAAAUACUUGAUAAUAUUAUUUUUUUCUUUAUUAUGAUUUUAAAUUUUUAUAAAAAAAUUAUUUAAUUAAUAUUUAGAAUAGUUCGGAACAAUCAUGACUUGCCCCAGGUCCAGCAUUUGGAUCUGAAAUAGUACAUUGGACCAAUUCUAAGCUUAUUUUAAAUUGUACCCUUUAAAUUAUUCCAAGGUACAUAUUAUAUAGUCAUCCUUCCAAUAUACUUCCCCUGCAUUGCACAAGCAUACUACCACCAAGCAUACUACCACCCUGACCAUUGUAAUUAGAAGUCAAGUUAGUAUUGUCAACAACUACAAUAAAUAAGACCCUCUUGUGAAAAAUCAUUGUUUUAUCAAAUAUUUCAGACAAGCCAUAGGAUCAAUACACCAGUCAAAAUAUGUAAAAUAUGUUAAAUGUUUUAUCAAUAUAAUCCAUGACCAUACCUUUAAUUGAGUCAUCGUAUAUAUCUCUAAGUGAUUUAUUCUAGCACUCUUAAAUAUAACAUUGUUCUUUGUUUUCAAAUCUCUCCUAUUAUAGCAACCCACAUACAUCUCCAAACUUUUUGCAUAUAGUGAUAACUUGGACAACCUAAACUGCAAAAAAAUGUGAUUUUGAGCAGCAAUGAUUAACCAAAACCUCAUCAAUCUUUAAAUAGCACAUACUCCACAUUAACUAGGCUAUCCUACAAGUAAAGAACAAAUGGCUAGAUGUUUCCUUUUCCUUGCCAUACAUGACACAUAAUGCAUUAUCCAUGACUACCCUUGCCUAAGUAAAUUAUCUUUUGUUGCUACUUUAUUUUGUAGCAUCCCCCAAACUACUAAAUGUGUUGAAGGUAAAGCUUUGAUCUUCUGAAAAUAUUCAUACAUUAUCCUGUUCAUCACUAAGCAUGUUCCUUAAUAUGAUAUAUGUUGAUUUUACUCUGUAGGUAAAAAACUUUCCUUCCUUCCACAACCAUGUAUCCUCUCCUUGCUUGAUUAAUCCCUUGUCCUCUAAUGGUUGCAAUAGCUUAAUUACUCGAUUCAUAUCCUAAUCAAACAAAUUUCUCCUCCACUUCAACUUCCAUUUCCACACAUUAUUGCUCCAUCUCCGAGUUUGAUUUGGCUUAGCUUCUUUGCAAGUAGAUAAAGAAUAUAAUCUUGGAAAUUUAACUUUAAGUUCUUCAUUGUCUACUCACUUGUCUUUCCAAAAUCUUAUAUUUUUCCCUUCUCCAAUCUCUCAAAUGAUAUCAUCUUCGAAUGUAUUCCUCCACUCCUCUAACUCCUAAAUCAUUUUCAAAUCUCUCCACCAAAGAGAUUCCUUGUUUAUUCUUUGAUUCUUUAAUUCCCUUUACCCCUCAUACUUAUACUUUAUUAUUUCUUUCAAUAAACCAUCAUUUACAGUUUCUAGACACCAAACCCAUUUUUCUAAUAAUGUUAUGUUGAAUAGUCUUAUGUCUAUUACCCCUAAUCAUCUUUCCCCCUUAGAUUUACAUACAUUUUCCCAAGGUAUCCAUGCUAUUUUCCUCACAUACGUCUCCCAUCCCCAUAAAAAUUGUCUUUGGAUUUUCUUGAUUGUUUUCAUCACCAAAACAGAUAUCUUGAAGAAAGAUAAAUAAAAUAAUGAGAAUGAUGUAAUCACCGAUCUUAGUAAGCAAAUCUUGUCUAUCAUUGAUAAAUAUUUACCUUUCUAUCCAUCCAAUUUUUUCCUAAUCUUUCCUAUCAUCCCUUCCCAGAACAUAUUCCUUGUAUGGUUGUCCCCCAUGGCCAUUCCCAAAUAUAUGAAAGGGGUUUUUGUAGUGCCACAAUUGAGAAUGGAAGCAUAUCAAUGUAUCAUAGUGUUAUCUACUCAUACCCCUCAAAUCUUACUCUUCAUAUAAUUCACUUUUAAACUAGAGGCUAAUUCGAAACAACUCAUAAUAGAUUUCAGGAGUAAUAAAUUUUGAGUAUUAUCUUUGCAAAAAAAUAAAGUUUCAUCAGCAUAUUGGAGAAUAUUUACCUUAAUCUCUCUAUCUUCUACUUCAAUGUUGUCCAAAAAUUUCUUUUCCUCUGCCUAUCUUACAACACCCAUCAUUAUAAAAUUUAGGAAGGGAACAAUGGG